CGGAUGUUCCGAUGCAAAAAUGCAAAGUUUGCGGGUUAGCAAUAACCGUAAAAUCGUGAACGCUUCCUAAACCUGUAAUCGGACCUUAGGAUACCAUCUUCGACGUGCACGUAUGGGAAUUUGGGGAGUUAAGCAAUUAAUUUGUGAUUUCCGCUUGGACGUGGUUUUUAUAUUAAUUAACGGUUCGUAUUUCGAAAUAGGUAUUUCGACUGCACGCUCGCAACAAGCAGGACCUUCACGUGGUCAGGCAGCGAGGGAAUAUUUGUGAGUGGACUUUGUUUUAACCAUAUGCCUGGUUUUAAUUAAUGAAAGAUUUUGCAUAAUGUUUUAAUGGAUUCUGGAUUUUUAUAUGUCUUAUGCAUGGAUAAAUUCUGAUGGGUGUAUAGCAAUUGGCAAUAUAUUGUGAAAUUGGCAUUUUUGGGUUUUGUGAGUGUAUUUUAUAUGUGGAUUGUGGGGAGGUAUAUUUUGAUAUAUUCUUUUUAGAUGAGAUAUUUGGGUUGUUGGAGGGUGUUAUGGAAGAGUGUGUUUAGAGAGGAGUUGUGGGAUUACACUACGUAAGUACCUUCCCCAGUUACUAGUCUCACUCGCGGCGUUGGAUGUUCCGGCGGGUGAGACACUUUCCGUAUGCGGCGUUGGAUGUUCUGGCGUACGGAAAGAUUGUGUAUAGAGUUUAGGGUCAUCACCAUGGCGUUGGAUGUUCCGGUGUGUGAUGAUCCAGUCUGCGCGCGUAGGACAUAGUUUGAGAGCUACACAUGGCGUUGGAUGUUCCGGUGUGGGAGCUUUGGAGUUUCGUCCCCCGGUUGGACCCCUCAUCCCUAGACGCAGGAUAGCACCUGGAAAUCCUGCGGACUAGUCAAACGAUCCCCCAGUUGGAUUGUUUUCCCCGGUACCUAGGUGGUGUGACGAGUAUACCGUAUAGUUAUUUAUAGUUAAUUAUAUAUAUAUAUAUAUUCUUUUUAUGUGUAUUUAUUGAAUAGGUAUAGUUGAGUGUGAAAGGAAUUGGAGUGUGUUUAAUAGUUGACAGGAGUGGUGAGUUUGAGAGAAUGUGGUUCUUUUUUUUUGAAGGAGAAAACUGAUGUUUUUAGAUGAGUUUUACUGAAGCAUGUUUUGAGUAAUUUCUUAUUGAAUUGUGAACCUGCAUGACUCGAGCAUUAUUUUUACUUGGUGGGGUUAUUAUGUUGUUUUUAACUACAAACCUGGUUUUUGUCCACUCACAUGUUUUCUGUUUUGCGCCCCCCAGCCAGUAGUUGCGCCUGGAAGUGCAAGUGGUGUACGAAAGCGGAUUCGGUGCACCCUUCUAAUUAGGAUCUGUGUAAAUUCUUCUACUCAACUGUACUUGUAAUCUAAAUUCAGUAGAUGCUCUGUAUUGCCAUGGUAGAUUUUACUUGUGAGGCCGGAGGCCACUCUAGUAUGAAUUAUGUAUGUGUGAAAGCAUGCUGCUGGUUGGGAUUAGUAUUACUGUGUGUUGCAGGUUGAAUAAAUUUUGUUGGGAUUGUUUAGAUUGCAGGGGAGACUCUGCCAAAUUUUUGUUAGAAAGUCUCAAUUAUUUAGUAGGUGGGCCCGGCAUCGGGAUGAUGUCGGGAUCAAGACGGGGUCCGCCUCGGUCUUGGGGAAAUUCCAGGGCGGGUCUUGUCAGCUUGGUAUCAGAGCAUUAGGUUCAUUUUCCUUCGACUAUUGCACUUUUGCUGCAUUGUUGAUCUAAUGAUUUCAUGAUUUCUUUGUGUAGAAUCAUGUCAGCUCGCAGAGCUAGAACAAGAGGCCGUGGGCAGAGAUGGGGGCCGAAUCCUCCACCUCCAUCUCCAUCACCCCCUCCUUCACCACCACUACCUUCACCUUCACCUUCACCACCUCCACCUACUGGAGAUAAUGCUUUGGAUUUGAGGCAUGUGCUCAGUCAGUUUACUCAUACAAUGGCUACAGCCUUACGGGGAAGGCGUGGUACGGAAAGUUCGGAAAUUAAGAGAGUUAAGGAACUUGGAGCUAAAGAAUUCCUGGGUAGUACAGAUCCGGCAGAAGCAGAAUUAUGGAUUACCGACGUGGAGAGAAUCUUUGAUGUCCUGGAAUGCCCAGCUGAGGAUAGAGUCCGUUUGGCCACCUUUCUACUCAAGGGAAAUGCGUAUCAUUGGUGGAAAGCAGUAAAAAGGGGUUAUGAAAAUCCGGCUGCUAUAAAUUGGGAAGAAUUUCAACGAGUAUUUUCAGAUCAGUUUUACCCACCUUCUUAUAAACAGGCAAAGAAGUCAGAGUUUCUCUAUCUGAAACAGGGGUCUAUGUCAGUAGUGGAAUAUGAACACAAAUUUAAUGAGCUGUCCAGGUUUGCUCCCGAGUUGGUGGCUACAGAGGAAGACAGAUGUAGACGCUUUGAGGAAGGUUUAUGGUGGGAAAUUCAGGCAGUUGUUACCGCUAGCACCUAUCCAAAUAUGAGGGCUUUGGCUCAGGCAGCAGCAAGGGUGGCAAGGAAACUUGGUGGGAAUGUUGGUAGGCGCCAUAGGGAUGCACCAGGAAUUGGUGGGCCCAGUCAGGGUCCAUCAAAGAGGGGAGGAUCUAGUUCCAGUUCGGCUAGUGGAGGAUGGUCAGGAGGACGGGGAUCUAGUUCUAGCAGUAGGAGAUCUGGUUCUCGUUCGGCUUGGACUCAGUAUUCGGGACCACAGUCUGUAGCUAGCACAGCCAGGGCUCCUUCUAGGUACACUGGGUUGACAUGUUUUCAUUGUGGGCAAGUUGGGCAUAUUGCGAAGGAUUGUCCCAGUUACACUCAGGGAGGUGGAUCAAGCCAGAGUAGUAGCCUGACAUGCUACUUUUGUGGGCAAGUAGGACAUACUAAGAGAAACUGCCCAAUUAUACUCCAGAAUGAUGCAAUGAAUCAGGGAACUGGGGCCCAGCUGGGGCAAGGUAUCUUGGGUCAGAAUCAGAAUCAGGGUGGUGUUUCUUCCUCUGCAGCGGGGUCAUCCAGUAGUAGGGCAUCGUCAUCUUCUAGAGGCAGAGGUGGUAGGCAAUUAAGGGGUCAACCUGGGCGCUCCACUACUCAGGCCCGUGUGUUCUCCAUGUCUCAGCAGGAAGCCUAUGCUACCCCGGACGUGAUUACUGGUAUGAUUCCGAUUUUUGGUUAUCUUGCACGUGUUUUAAUUGACCCGGGGGCCACACACUCUUUUGUAGCACACAAUUUCAUACCGUAUGUCAGUAUUAGACCCACACCUAUGACAGGGAGCUUUAGUAUUUCCCUACCUACGGGAGAAGUCUUAUACGCAGAUCGGAUAUUCAGAAAUUGUUUUGUCCAAGUAGAUGAUGCAUGGUUGGAAGCAAAUUUAAUUCCUUUAGACUUGGUGGAUUUGGAUAUUAUUUUGGGGAUGGAUUGGCUGGAGAAACAUCAUGCUUCAGUGGAUUGUUAUCGGAAGGAAGUAACGUUUCGAAGUCCAGGGCAACCUAGAGUUACCUUCCGUGGGGAGCGUAGAGUUCUCCCUACUUGUCUAAUCUCUGCUAUUACAGCCAAGAAGUUACUCCAGAAGGGAUGUGAGGGGUAUUUGGCGCACAUCAUUGAUACUCGAGAGAUCACCCUAAAUCUGGAAGAUAUUCCUGUUGUUUGUGAUUUUCCUGAUGUCUUUCCAGAUGAUCUCCCUGGUUUACCCCCUGAAAGGGAAAUCGAGUUCACUAUUGAACUUCUUCCGGGCACCAACCCUAUUUAUCUAACCCCCUAUAGGAUGGCACCAGCUGAACUUCGGGAGUUGAAGAUUCAAUUACAGGAGUUAGUAGAUCUUGGGUUCAUCAGACCCAGUGUUUCACCGUGGGGUGCACCUGUAUUGUUUGUGAGGAAGAAAGAUGGAACCAUGAGGUUAUGUAUUGAUUACCGGCAGCUGAAUAAGGUGACGAUACGUAACCGGUACCCUUUGCCUCGGAUUGAUGAUCUGUUUGAUCAGUUGAAGGGUGCUAAGUAUUUUUCUAAGAUCGAUUUGAGAUCAGGAUACCACCAGUUGAGGAUCAGGGAAGAGGAUAUUCCUAAGACCGCAUUCAGAACACGGUAUGGACAUUAUGAAUUUCUGGUGAUGCCGUUUGGGCUGACAAAUGCUCCAGCAGCGUUUAUGGAUCUCAUGAACAGAGUGUUCCGACCCUACUUGGAUCACUUUGUGAUUGUAUUCAUCGACGAUAUCUUGGUGUACUCCCAGACUUUGGAAGGGCAUAAGAAGCAUCUGAGGUUGGUAUUGAGAACCUUGAGAAGGAAGCAGCUUUAUGCUAAAUUUAGUAAGUGUCAGUUCUGGCUGGACAGAGUGGUAUUUCUGGGACAUGUAAUUUCAGCUGAAGGGAUUUAUGUGGAUCCACAGAAAGUUGAAGCUAUUGUGAACUGGGUACAACCCACCAGUGUGACAGAAAUACGGAGUUUUCUAGGAUUGGCAGGCUACUAUCGUCGAUUUGUGGAAGGGUUUUCUUCGAUAGCAGCACCUCUCACACGGUUGACAAAGAAAGAUGUUGCAUAUGAGUGGACGGAAGAAUGUGAACAAAGUUUUAAAGAAUUAAAGAAGCGAUUAACCACUGCACCUGUUUUGGCUCUUCCAGAUAAUGCAGGAAAUUUUGUGAUCUACAGUGAUGCAUCUUUGCGAGGCUUGGGAUGUGUUCUGAUGCAACAUGAUCGGGUGAUUGCUUAUGCCUCGAGGCAACUCAAGAAGCAUGAGCAAAAUUAUCCAGUUCAUGAUCUGGAACUUGCCGCUGUAGUGUUCGCUCUUAAGAUUUGGCGGCAUUAUUUGUAUGGUGAGACGUGUCAGAUUUUCACUGAUCAUAAAAGUCUCAAGUACUUUUUCACUCAAAAGGAGCUUAAUAUGAGACAACGACGUUGGUUGGAAUUGAUAAAGGAUUAUGACUGCACAAUUGAGUAUCAUCCAGGCCGAGCUAAUGUGGUAGCAGAUGCACUGAGUAGGAAGACUACGGGAAGUUUGGCUCAUCUCAGAACGGCAUAUCUUCCGUUGUUAGUGGAACUACGGAAAGAUGGUGUGGGACUGGAAAUGGCGCAACAGGGAGGAUUACUUGCUAGUUUGCAUGUGAGACCCAUUUUGGUGGAGCGGAUAAUUGAAGCCCAGUUGGGAGACCCAACACUUUGUAGAAUAAGGGGAGAAGUAGAAAGUGGUUCGCGGAAAGAUUAUGCAAUAAGGGGAGAUGGGGCGUUGGUAACAGGAACUCGCCUCUGUGUACCUAAGAAUGAUUAUCUGAAAAGAGAAAUCCUGGAGGAAGCUCACUGUUCCACUUACACUAUGCAUCCAGGAAGCACCAAGAUGUAUCGAACCCUACGGGAGUAUUACUCAUGGCCGCAUAUGAAGGGAGAUAUUGCCAAGUAUGUGAGUAGAUGCUUGAUUUGUCAACAAGUGAAAGCGGAGCGACAGAAACCUUCCGGACUUAUGCAACCGCUUCCAAUUCCUGAAUGGAAGUGGGAGCACAUUACCAUGGAUUUCGUUUUCAAGCUUCCACGUACUCCCAAUGGACAUGAUGGAAUUUGGGUGAUAGUGGAUAGACUCACCAAGUCCGCCCAUUUCCUACCUGUUAAGGAAACUUAUUCUCUGACAAAAUUGGCAAAACUUUUUGUGGACGAGAUUGUGAGGUUACAUGGAGCACCUGUGUCCAUUGUAUCGGACAGGGAUGCCCGAUUUACUUCUCGAUUCUGGAAGUGUUUGCAGGAAGCUAUGGGUACUAGGUUGCGGUUUAGCACAGCUUUUCACCCCCAGACUGAUGGACAAUCAGAAAGAACUAUUCAGACUUUGGAGGAUAUGUUGAGGUCGUGUGUACUGCAGAUGAAAGAUUCAUGGGAUACUCACCUUGCCUUGGUGGAAUUUGCAUACAAUAACAGUUAUCAUGCGAGUAUAAAGAUGGCUCCUUAUGAGGCGUUGUAUGGGAGACAGUGUAGGACUCCUAUGUGUUGGAACGAAGUGGGAGAUAAGAAAUUAGAAAAAGUGGAAAGUAUCCGAGCAACAACCGAAAAAGUGAAGAUCAUUAAAGAAAAGCUGAAGAUCGCACAAGACCGACAGAAGAGUUAUGCAGAUAAUAGGUCCAAAGAUCUCGAAUUUGCAGUUGGGGAUUGGGUGUUCCUGAAGUUAUCUCCUUGGAAGGGUGUGAUGAGAUUCGGAAAACGUGGGAAAUUAAGCCCUCGUUAUAUUGGACCCUAUGAGAUUACUGAACGCAUCGGACCGGUUGCUUAUAGACUUGCAUUACCUGCAGAACUAUCUCGGGUGCAUGAUGUGUUCCAUGUAUCUAUGUUUCGGAAGUAUAUGCCAGACCCUUCUCACGUUUUAGAAUAUCCACCUGUGGAGUUGGAAGAAGAUUUGUCAUUUGAGGAGCAACCUGUGCAAAUUCUAGAUAGGAAAGAACAACAGUUGCGCUCUAGAUCCAUUCCAGUAGUGAAGGUUCUGUGGAGAAGCCAAACUGUGGAAGAAGCUACAUGGGAGCCUGAGACACAAAUGAGGGUCAAGUACCCUCAUCUUUUCCAUUGACAGGUACGUGAAUUUCGGGGACGAAAUUUUCUUUAAGGAGGGUAGAUUGUAACACCCCGACUCCAAAUUAAAUGAUUAUUUUAAUCGAUUUUUAUAAAAUUACGAAUUUACCCUUGGGAUAGGGGUAAAUUGGUCACUUUCUUCUUCGGAAGGAUUUUGGGACCACGAGUGGCAUUUCUGAGAAGAUGGUACUGAGACGAAUUCAUAGACACGCGGUAGGUUUGAAUCGGGGUUGUAACGAAAAAGUUACGGGCAAAAUAGUGUCAGUGGCAAACUUGUAAAUAUUUCAAAAAGUUUGGUAAAAAUCAGAUUUUCACCUCAGCUCUCUCUCUCUUCGCGCGCGACACUCUCUCUCUCCUCAGUCUCUCUCUCUCUCCCCGACGUUCACUCUCUCUCUCCUCGGCUUGCCCAGUUCCGGCCACGGCAGGACCCGAGAUCGGUCCCGUUCGACUCGUCUCGUCGCCCCGGUCAAGCUCCGCCCGUUUUCCCCGUCGGAAACCAAGGAUUCCGGCCGCGAGCUCGACGAUUUUAAACCGAAGCCUUUCAGCCGUCGCGCCGCCGCCUCCGCCGCCCAAACCCGGUGAUUGAGGUAUGAUUUCUCUUCCAUUUUCCGAGUUCUAGCUGAUGUUGGUAUAGGUUUUGAUUGAUUUCGAGUUUGGAAAACCGAUUAGAAAUCUAGGUUUUGGGCCGAAUUUCAACAUGAAAUUCCGGCCAGUUGCCGGCCGAAUUGGAGCUUCUCGUAGUUGAAUGAAGUGAUCCUGACCUCAAGUAGAAGCUAGGGUAGGAAGGGUGAGCUCGGGUGUGGAGUUUUUCCGUCACCGGAAUUACUCUGCACACCCACGCGCUGCCAGCGCGUGUGGCGGCACGUGGGCGAGUCUGGCGAGGAUGUAAAUUGACCCGAUGAGAUCCUUAGGUUGUCACGAGCGCAUAGGAAUUCGCGGAUCUCGAUUCGGAUGUCGUUUGGCUAUCGAACGGAUUUUCGCAUAUUAUGCGUUAUCCGAGUUCGAUAGGUUCCGACCGUUAGAUCUUUCCCAAUUUAAAAUAUGUUGUUCUAGGUAUUCCUAGGACCGUAUGGGACUUCACGAAUUCUGAAUCGGAGCCCCGGAUGUUCCGAUGCAAAAAUGCAAAGUUUGCGGGUUAGCAAUAACCGUAAAAUCGUGAACGCUUCCUAAACCUGUAAUCGGACCUUAGGAUACCAUCUUCGACGUGCACGUAUGGGAAUUUGGGGAGUUAAGCAAUUAAUUUGUGAUUUCCGCUUGGACGUGGUUUUUAUAUUAAUUAACGGUUCGUAUUUCGAAAUAGGUAUUUCGACUGCACGCUC
Molecule: long non-coding RNA, 7782 nt
Filed under: Prunus persica (peach)
Lineage: Eukaryota; Viridiplantae; Streptophyta; Magnoliopsida; Rosales; Rosaceae
Description: long non-coding RNA (PPER_LNC003789)
Source: RNAcentral